CCUACGGGAGGCUGCAGUGGGGGAUAUUGCACAAUGGGGGGAACCCUGAUGCAGCGACGCCGCGUGGGUGAAGGAGUGCUUCGGCAUGUAAAGCCCUAUCAGCAGGGAAGAAAAUGACGGUACCUGACUAAGAAGCCCCGGCUAACUACGUGCCAGCAGCCGCGGUAAUACGUAGGGGGCAAGCGUUAUCCGGAUUUACUGGGUGUAAAGGGAGCGUAGACGGCGGGCCAAGUCUGAUGUGAAAGGCCGGGGCUCAACCCCGGGACGGCAUUGGAAACUGGCAGGCUGGAGUGCCGGAGGGGCAGGCGGAAUUCCUGGUGUAGCGGUGAAAUGCAGAGAUAUCAGACGGAACACCGAUGGCGAGGGCAUCUCACGAAUCCGCGAUUGACGCUGAGGCACGAAAGCGUGGGGAGCAAACAGGAUUAGAUACCCCAGUAGUC
This 440-nucleotide ribosomal RNA is filed under the name uncultured bacterium. RNAcentral's name for it is "partial 16S ribosomal RNA". It matches the Rfam family "Bacterial small subunit ribosomal RNA", at positions 338 to 795 of the family's 1533-position model. The record is from RNAcentral.